CCGGCUCAGGUUGAACGCUGGCGGCGCGCCUAACACAUGCAAGUCGAACGAGAGAUGAGGAGCUUGCUCUUCAAAUCGAGUGGCGAACGGGUGAGUAACGCGUGAGGAACCUGCCUCAAAGAGGGGGACAACAGUUGGAAACGACUGCUAAUACCGCAUAAGCCCACGGCUCGGCAUCGAGCAGAGGGAAAAGGAGCAAUCCGCUUUGAGAUGGCCUCGCGUCCGAUUAGCUGGUUGGUGAGGUAACGGCCCACCAAGGCGACGAUCGGUAGCCGGACUGAGAGGUUGAACGGCCACAUUGNGACUGAGACACGGCCCAGACUCCUACGGGAGGCAGCAGUGGGAAUAUUGCACAAUGGGGGAAACCCUGAUGCAGCGACGCCGCGUGGAGGAAGAAGGUCUUUCGGAUUGUAAACUCCUGUUGUUGAGGAAGACAAUGACGGUACUCAACAAGGAAGUGACGGCUAACUACGUGCCAGCAGCCGCGGUAAAACGUAGGUCACAAGCGUUGUCCGGAAUUACUGGGUGUAAAGGGAGCGCAGGCGGGAGAACAAGUUGGAAGUGAAAUCCAUGGGCUCAACCCAUGAACUGCUUUCAAAACUGUUUUUCUUGAGUAGUGCAGAGGUAGGCGGAAUUCCCGCUGUAGCGGUGGAAUGCGUAGAUAUCGGGAGGAACACCAGUGGCGAAGGCGGCCUACUGGGCACCAACUGACGCUGAGGCUCGAAAGUGUGGGUAGCAAACAGGAUUAGAUACCCUGGUAGUCCACACCGUAAACGAUGAUUACUAGGUGUUGGAGGAUUGACCCCUUCAGUGCCGCAGUUAACACAAUAAGUAAUCCACCUGGGGAGUACGACCGCAAGGUUGAAACUCAAAGGAAUUGACGGGGGCCCGCACAAGCAGUGGAGUAUGUGGUUUAAUUCGACGCAACGCGAAGAACCUUACCAAGUCUUGACAUCCCUUGACGAUACUGGAAACAGUAUUUCUCUUCGGAGCAAGGAGACAGGUGGUGCAUGGUUGUCGUCAGCUCGUGUCGUGAGAUGUUGGGUUAAGUCCCGCAACGAGCGCAACCCUUAUGGUCAGUUACUACGCAAGAGGACUCUGGCCAGACUGCCGUUGACAAAACGGAGGAAGGUGGGGAUGACGUCAAAUCAUCAUGCCCUUUAUGACUUGGGCUACACACGUACUACAAUGGCGUUAAACAAAGAGAAGCAAGACCGCGAGGUGGAGCAAAACUCAGAAACAACGUCCCAGUUCGGACUGCAGGCUGCAACUCGCCUGCACGAAGUCGGAAUUGCUAGUAAUCGUGGAUCAGCAUGCCACGGUGAAUACGUUCCCGGGCCUUGUACACACCGCC
RNAcentral lists this ribosomal RNA (1354 nucleotides) under uncultured bacterium. RNAcentral describes it as "bacterial SSU rRNA". It matches the Rfam family "Bacterial small subunit ribosomal RNA", at positions 19 to 1394 of the family's 1533-position model. The record is from RNAcentral.